GUGAAGGAAAUGAACAUGAUUCAGCACAAGAGCCGAUCAGGAAUGUGGAGGCCAGACUCUCCCAUCAGGCUCCGCUCCCCUCCCGCCACCUCGGCAGAGGCCCCAGACUGCACCUGCCGGAUGGGAUCCCGUAGUGCCACAGAGCCUGGGCACCAUGCCACUCCUCUCUCCAAGAACACCACCGCCUGGCAGGCUGCCAGGAACAGCCAAGCCCUGUGGACAUCACUCCCAGAAAUCCAACCACACGGAAAGCAAACGUGCUGUGUCUCAUGACAGUACUAACAAGCCUGGUAAAUCAGCCCACAGUUGCACAGCCGUAGCUGGGGAAUCCAAGUGCUUUCUGAGGACACACUGACGACAGCAGCAGACACACACGCGUACGCACAUCUUCACGGCACACAGACUCACUAAGGUAUGCCACGAGCCUACAGGUUUUCAAUACCAUACAGUGGAUAACAGUGGUGGUGGUGGGUCUCCGCCCUCAGGAAGCACUUGACCUUAUCUGACAAACAAAAGGAACAUCAGGGAAAAACUCUGCAUGGAUUGAAUGCCUCCCAGUGUGGCAGGAACUAAGAGCCACAUGGAUCUCUGAGCUUCGGCUGACAUGCCCAGGAAGGUGGCCCUGGAAAGGUAGUAACGACCUGUCCAGUCUCCACAUCUCCAGGGAGUCUCCAGGUGUCUGUCCAUUGCUCAGCUCCACUUGAGGGGAGAGAGAGCCAGUGGAGGGCAGGAGAACUGGCAUCCAGGUCUCCAUGAGGUAUAAGCUCUCUUCUUGCAAACAGAACACCAGAAGGACGCAUCUUGGGACCCAUCCACUGAGUGCCACUGAG
This 830-nucleotide long non-coding RNA is filed under the name Homo sapiens (human). RNAcentral describes it as "HSALNT0388787". Lineage: Eukaryota; Metazoa; Chordata; Mammalia; Primates; Hominidae. The record is from RNAcentral.